This 107-nucleotide small nuclear RNA is filed under the name Octodon degus (degu). The record is from RNAcentral. Lineage: Eukaryota; Metazoa; Chordata; Mammalia; Rodentia; Octodontidae.
GUGCUUGCUUUGGCAGCACAUAUACUAAAAUUGGAACGAUACAGAGAAGAUUAGCAUGGCCCCUGUGCAAAGAUGACACGCAAAUUCAUGAAGCGUUCCAUAUUUUU